GACGUGGGGGGCCAGCGUUGUUCGGAAUUACUGGGUGUAAAGGGUUCGUAGGCGGUGUGGCAAGUCGGGAGUGAAAUCUCUAGGCUCAACCUAGAGUCUGCUUCCGAAACUGCUGUGCUUGAGUGUGGGAGAGGCGCGUGGAAUUGCAGGUGUAGCGGUGAAAUGCGUAGAUAUCUGCAGGAACACCCGUGGCGAAGGCGGCUGGCUGGAUCGCAACUGACGCUGAGGAACGAAAGCUAGGGGAGCAAACAGG
RNAcentral lists this ribosomal RNA (253 nucleotides) under uncultured bacterium. Its description in RNAcentral is "partial 16S ribosomal RNA". It matches the Rfam family "Bacterial small subunit ribosomal RNA", at positions 524 to 776 of the family's 1533-position model. The record is from RNAcentral.